This 739-nucleotide ribosomal RNA is filed under the name uncultured bacterium. RNAcentral's name for it is "bacterial SSU rRNA". It matches the Rfam family "Bacterial small subunit ribosomal RNA", at positions 28 to 776 of the family's 1533-position model. The record is from RNAcentral.
AGUGAACGCUGGCGGCGUGCCUAACACAUGCAAGUCGAACGAGAACGGAUUUAAGCUUGCUUAAAUUGUCAGCUAAGUGGCGCACGGGUGAGUAAUGUAUAGUUAACCUGCCUUUAAGAAAGGGAUAACAAUUAGAAAUGAUUGCUAAUACCUUAUAUGCCUUUUAAUCAUAAGAUUGUAAAGGGAAAUGCUUUAGUGCUUAAAGAUGGGACUGUAUAGUAUCAGAUAGUUGGUGGGGUAAUGGCCUACCAAGUCAAUGACGCUUAACUGGUUUGAGAGGAUGAUCAGUCACACUGGAACUGAGACACGGUCCAGACUCCUACGGGAGGCAGCAGUGGGGAAUAUUGCACAAUGGAGGGAACUCUGAUGCAGCAACGCCGCGUGGAGGAUGACACAUUUCGGUGCGUAAACUCCUUUUAUAUAGGAAGAUAAUGACGGUACUAUAUGAAUAAGCACCGGCUAACUCCGUGCCAGCAGCCGCGGUAAUACGGAGGGUGCAAGCGUUACUCGGAAUCACUGGGCGUAAAGAGCAUGUAGGCGGAUUAAUAAGUUUGAAGUGAAAUCCUAUAGCUUAACUAUAGAACUGCUUUGAAAACUGUUAAUCUAAAUAUGGGAGAGGUAGAUGGAAUUUUCUGGUGUAGGGGUAAAAUCCGUAGAGAUCAGAAGGAAUACCGAUUGCGAAGGCGAUCUACUGGAACAUUAUUGACGCUCAGAUGCGAAAGCGUAGGGAGCAAACAGG